Molecule: non-coding RNA, 480 nt
Organism: Rattus rattus (black rat)
Lineage: Eukaryota; Metazoa; Chordata; Mammalia; Rodentia; Muridae
Source: the annotation of a RefSeq genome assembly
GGGGACACUUCAACAGCCACCCUGACACCACAGCCCAGGGGUUGGUUACUUGCUUCUGUCUCCAGCAGCCACACAAGCACCAUGAAGAGGCUGCUGUGCUCUCUGCUGGGGCUUCUGUGCACCCAGGUUUGCUGGGUGAAGGGGCAGCAAGUGCAGCAGAGUCCUGUGUCCUUGGUUCUACAGGAGGGAGAGAACGCAGAGCUGCAGUGCAACUUUUCCACCACAGCAACCCGGCUGCAGUGGUUUUUCCAACGUCCUGGGGGAAACCUUGUCAGCCUCUUUUACAAUCCUUCUGGGACAAAGCAGAGUGGAAGACUGAUGUCCACGACAGUCACAAGGGAACGACGAAGCUCUUUGCACAUCUCCUCCUCCCAGACCACAGACUCAGGCACUUAUUUCUGUGCUAUGGAUCCACAGUGCUCCCCACACACCUGCAGCCUGUGCACAAACCUUCAGCUGGGUGGCUGUGUCUCUUCUUAG